GACGAACGCUGGCGGCGUGCUUAACACAUGCAAGUCGAGCGGUAAGGCCCUUUCGGGGGUACACGAGCGGCGAACGGGUGAGUAACACGUGGGUGACCUGCCUUUAGCUCUGGGAUAAGCCUGGGAAACUGGGUCUAAUACCGGAUAUGACUCCAUGAUGCAUGUUGUGGGGUGGAAAGCCUUGUGCGGCUGGAGAUGGGCCCGCGGCCUAUCAGCUUGUUGGUGGGGUGAUGGCCUACCAAGGCGACGACGGGUAGCCGGCCUGAGAGGGCGACCGGCCACACUGGGACUGAGACACGGCCCAGACUCCUACGGGAGGCAGCAGUGGGAAUCUUGCGCAAUGGGCGAAAGCCUGACGCAGCGACGCCGCGUGAGGAUGACGG
RNAcentral lists this ribosomal RNA (383 nucleotides) under uncultured bacterium. Its description in RNAcentral is "bacterial SSU rRNA". It matches the Rfam family "Bacterial small subunit ribosomal RNA", at positions 28 to 414 of the family's 1533-position model. The record is from RNAcentral.